UCCUUUUCUUCUAAGGACAGUGCUCAUACA
RNAcentral lists this non-coding RNA (30 nucleotides) under Mus musculus (house mouse). Lineage: Eukaryota; Metazoa; Chordata; Mammalia; Rodentia; Muridae. The record is from RNAcentral.